AGCGAACGCUGGCGGCAUGCCUAACACAUGCAAGUCGAACGAGACCUUCGGGUCUAGUGGCGCACGGGUGCGUAACGCGUGGGAACCUGCCCUUAGGUGCGGAAUAACUCCCCGAAAGGGGUGCUAAUACCGGAUAAUGUCUUCGGACCAAAGAUUUAUCGCCUUUGGAUGGGCCCGCGUUGGAUUAGCUAGUUGGUAGGGUAAAAGCCUACCAAGGCGACGAUCCAUAGCUGGUCUGAGAGGAUGAUCAGCCACACUGGGACUGAGACACGGCCCAGACUCCUACGGGAGGCAGCAGUGGGGAAUAUUGGACAAUGGGCGAAAGCCUGAUCCAGCAAUGCCGCGUGAGUGAUGAAGGCCUUAGGGUUGUAAAGCUCUUUUACCCGGGAUGAUAAUGACAGUACCGGGAGAAUAAGCGCCGGCUAACUCCGUG
RNAcentral lists this ribosomal RNA (433 nucleotides) under uncultured bacterium. Its description in RNAcentral is "partial 16S ribosomal RNA". It matches the Rfam family "Bacterial small subunit ribosomal RNA", at positions 29 to 507 of the family's 1533-position model. The record is from RNAcentral.